UGAGGAAUAUUGGUCAAUGGGCGAGAGCCUGAACCAGCCAUCCCGCGUGCAGGAUGACGGCCCUAUGGGUUGUAAACUGCUUUUCCGCGCCAAGAAACCCCCCUACGUGUAGGGGGCUGACGGUAGCGCGGGAAUAAGCACCGGCUAACUCCGUGCCAGCAGCCGCGGUAAUACGGAGGGUGCAAGCGUUAUCCGGAUUCAUUGGGUUUAAAGGGUGCGCAGGUGGGAAAAUAAGUCAGUGGUGAAAUACUGCCGCUCAACGGUAGGGCUGCCAUUGAUACUGUUUUUCUUGAGUAUGGUUGAGGUAGGUGGAAUGUGUUGUGUAGCGGUGAAAUGCAUAGAUAUGACACAGAACGCCGAUUGCGAAGGCAACUUACUAAGCCAUUACUGACGCUGAGGCACGAAAGCGUGGGUAGCGAACA
Molecule: ribosomal RNA, 422 nt
Filed under: uncultured Bacteroidota bacterium
Lineage: Bacteria; Pseudomonadati; Bacteroidota
Description: bacterial SSU rRNA
Rfam family: Bacterial small subunit ribosomal RNA
Source: RNAcentral